This 1216-nucleotide ribosomal RNA is filed under the name Escherichia coli. RNAcentral describes it as "bacterial SSU rRNA". It matches the Rfam family "Bacterial small subunit ribosomal RNA", at positions 108 to 1320 of the family's 1533-position model. Lineage: Bacteria; Pseudomonadati; Pseudomonadota; Gammaproteobacteria; Enterobacterales; Enterobacteriaceae. The record is from RNAcentral.
GAGUAAUGUCUGGGAAACUGCCUGAUGGAGGGGGAUAACUACUGGAAACGGUAGCUAAUACCGCAUAACGUCGCAAGACCAAAGAGGGGGACCUUCGGGCCUCUUGCCAUCGGAUGUGCCCAGAUGGGAUUAGCUUGUUGGUGGGGUAACGGCUCACCUAGGCGACGAUCCCUAGCUGGUCUGAGAGGAUGACCAGCCACACUGGAACUGAGACACGGUCCAGACUCCUACGGGAGGCAGCAGUGGGGAAUAUUGCACAAUGGGCGCAAGCCUGAUGCAGCCAUGCCGCGUGUAUGAAGAAGGCCUUCGGGUUGUAAAGUACUUUCAGCGGGGAGGAAGGGAGUAAAGUUAAUACCUUUGCUCAUUGACGUUACCCGCAGAAGAAGCACCGGCUAACUCCGUGCCAGCAGCCGCGGUAAUACGGAGGGUGCGAGCGUUAAUCGGAAUUACUGGGCGUAAAGCGCACGCAGGCGGUUUUGUUAAGUCAGAUGUGAAAUCCCCGGGCUCAACCUGGGAACUGCAUCUGAUACUGGCAAGCUUGAGUCUCGUAGAGGGGGGUAGAAUUCCAGGUGUAGCGGUGAAAUGCGUAGAGAUCUGGAGGAAUACCGGUGGCGAAGGCGGCCCCCUGGACGAAGACUGACGCUCAGGUGCGAAAGCGUGGGGAGCAAACAGGAUUAGAUACCCUGGUAGUCCACGCCGUAAACGAUGUCGACUUGGAGGUUGUGCCCUUGAGGCGUGGCUUCCGGAGCUAACGCGUUAAGUCGACCGCCUGGGGAGUACGGCCGCAAGGUUAAAACUCAAAUGAAUUGACGGGGGCCCGCACAAGCGGUGGAGCAUGUGGUUUAAUUCGAUGCAACGCGAAGAACCUUACCUGGUCUUGACAUCCACGGAAGUUUUCAGAGAUGRGAAUGUGCCUUCGGGAACCGUGAGACAGGUGCUGCAUGGCUGUCGUCAGCUCGUGUUGUGAAAUGUUGGGUUAAGUCCCGCAACGAGCGCAACCCUUAUCCUUUGUUGCCAGCGGUCCGGCCGGGAACUCAAAGGAGACUGCCAGUGAUAAACUGGAGGAAGGUGGGGAUGACGUCAAGUCAUCAUGGCCCUUACGACCAGGGCUACACACGUGCUACAAUGGCGCAUACAAAGAGAAGCGACCUCGCGAGAGCAAGCGGACCUCAUAAAGUGCGUCGUAGUCCGGAUUGGAGUCUGCAACUCGACUCCA